GUUCAAAUGAGGAAGGGAUUAUGGUGGAUAACUAGGCACCCAGAGACGAGGAAGGGUGUGGUAAGCGACGAAAUGCUUCGGGGAGUUGAAAAUGAGCAUAGAUUCAAAGAUUCCUGAAUAGGUUAACCUUUUUAACUGCUGCUUAAUCCAUGGGCAGGCAAGAGACAAGAUGGCGAAUUGAAACAUCUUAGUAGCCAGAGGAAUAGAAAGAAAAAUUGAUUCCCUUAGUAGCGGCGAGAGAAAUGGGAGCAUCCUAAACCGUGAAAAUAGGGUUGUGGGAGAGAACAAUAUAAGCUCUGUGAUGCUAGGCAAAGCAGUUGAGUCCUGCACCCUAGAUGGUGAGAGUCCAAUAUCCAAAAUCAUCAUUGGGUUACGCUCUAACCCGAGUAGCAUGGGGCACGUGGAAUCCCAUGUGAAUCAGAAAGGACCACCUUGCAAGGCUAAAUACUCUUGGGUGACCGAUAGCGAAGUAAUACCGUGAGGGAAAGGUGAAAAGAACCCCCAUCGGGGAGUGAAAUAGAACAUGAUAUCGUAAACUCCCAAGUAGUGGGAGGCAAAUGAUAUCUCUGACCACGUUCCUAUUGAAGAAUGAGCUGGAAACUUAUAAGCAGUGGCUUGGGCAAGGGAACCCACCGGAGCCAUAGCGAGAGUGAGUCUUCAUGGGGAAAUUGUCACUGCUUAUGGACCUGAACCUGGGUGAUCUAUCCAUGACCAAGAUGAAGCUUGGGUGAAACUAAGUGGAGGUAAGAACCGACUAAUGUUGAAAAAUUAACGGAUGAGUCAUGGUUAGGGAUGAAAUGCCACUCGAACCCAUAGCUAUCUAGUUCUCCCCAAAAUGCAUUGAGGCAUAGCAGUUGACUGGACCAUUUAGGGGUAAAUCAUUGUUUUGGUACGGGCCACGAGAGCGGUACAAAAUCAAGGCAAAAUCUGAAUACUAGAUUGCCCCAAUAAAAGGGGUAAAGGUCAACGAAUGAGGUGAUGGGGGAUAAGCUUCAUCGUCGAGAGGGAAAUAGACCAGAUCAUCAACUAAGGCCCCUAAAUGAUCGUUCAAUGAUGAAGGAAGUAUGAGUGCAAAGACAACCAGGAGGUUUGCCUAGAAGUAGCCAACCUUUAAAGAGUGCGUAAUAGCUCACUGAUCGAGCGCUCUUACACCAAAGAUGAACGGGACUAAGCGAUCUGUCGAAGCUCUGGGAUGUAAAAAUACAUCGGUAGGGGAACGUUCCACCUCAGAGGGAAGCACUGGCGUGAUCAGGUGUGGACGAAGUGAAAGUGAGAAUUUCGGCUUGAGUAAUGCAAACAUUGGUGAGAAUCCAAUGCCCCGAAAACCUAAGGGUUCCUUUGCAAGGUUCAUCCACGGAGGGUGAGUUAGGGCCUAAUAUCAAGAUGAAAGGUGUAGUCGAUGGACAAUAGGUCAAUAUUCCUGUACUACCCCUUCUUGGUCUCGAGGGACGGAGGAGGCUAGGUUAGCCGAAAGAUGGUUAUCGGUUCAAGGACGCAAGGUGACCCUCUAUACAUUGAUUCAAAGGUAAAAGAAGAAUCAAAUAUAGGUGUGUACAAGGUGAGGUUGGGGGUGGAU
This is a non-coding RNA of Picea glauca (white spruce), 1576 nucleotides long. The record is from Rfam. NCBI's taxonomy places the organism in Eukaryota, Viridiplantae, Streptophyta, Pinopsida, Pinales, Pinaceae.